Caenorhabditis brenneri is the source of this 71-nucleotide non-coding RNA. NCBI's taxonomy places the organism in Eukaryota, Metazoa, Nematoda, Chromadorea, Rhabditida, Rhabditidae. The record is from the annotation of a GenBank genome assembly.
GCCACCGUGGUCUAGUGGUUAGCACUGCCGUUUUGCAAACUGGCAUCGCGGGUUCAAUCCCGCUCGGGGCG